GGAGUAAGAAGUUAGCCCGUGAUUAUCUAAUCAUGUGUGUUAAACCUUUCCUUAUUCCAUCCUUGUGGAAAGCAUAUCUGGCAUUUAGUUACUGGGUAUGUGAUCUGCAUCGUUUACUGUGAAAAAAUUAGAGUGUUUAAAGCAGGCUUUUGCCCGAAUACAUUAGCAUGGAAUGAUAAUAUAGGACUUUGUUGCUAUUUUAUUGGUUUGCACAGCAAAGUA
RNAcentral lists this ribosomal RNA (222 nucleotides) under uncultured fungus. Its description in RNAcentral is "partial small subunit ribosomal RNA". It matches the Rfam family "Eukaryotic small subunit ribosomal RNA", at positions 636 to 863 of the family's 1831-position model. Lineage: Eukaryota; Fungi. The record is from RNAcentral.